UAUGUACGGAGGGGAUAAGCGCUGAAAGCAUCUAAGCGCGAAGCCCCCCUCAAGAUGAGAUUUCCCAGUAUGUAAGACCCCUUGUAGACGACGAGGUUGAUAGGUUCGAGGUGGAAGUGCGGCAACGCAUGCAGCUGACGAAUACUAAUCGGUCGAGGGCUUAACCAAUAAACC
RNAcentral lists this ribosomal RNA (174 nucleotides) under Paenibacillus silvestris. RNAcentral describes it as "Paenibacillus sp. 5J-6 partial 23S ribosomal RNA". It matches the Rfam family "Bacterial large subunit ribosomal RNA", at positions 2750 to 2925 of the family's 2925-position model. The record is from RNAcentral. Lineage: Bacteria; Bacillati; Bacillota; Bacilli; Caryophanales; Paenibacillaceae.